Molecule: long non-coding RNA, 225 nt
Filed under: Capsicum annuum
Lineage: Eukaryota; Viridiplantae; Streptophyta; Magnoliopsida; Solanales; Solanaceae
Description: long non-coding RNA (CANN_LNC021955)
Source: RNAcentral
CGAAAAGCCCCGAAGCAAACUGGAGCUCAUCAAAAGCAGCUAGAUAUCCUGGCUCCUACUUGUGUGGUGUAUGAGCUGAGGUACCUGUGCCUGCAGCAUGAAAUGCAGGUCCCCCGUGGGGGAUGUCAGUACGAAAUAUGUACUGAGUAUGUAAAUCUGUAGAUAAUCACAUAUGAUAUAGGAGCUCAAUAGAAAUCAGAAACAAGUGAAUAAAUCGUAAUAGGA